ACGCUUACACGCUAUUCCUUUCUGUGUCGCCAUCUCAACAAACUUAACUUCCCUUUCAAUCCACCAUUUCUUCCUCUUUUUUCAUCGUUUCUUCAACCGAUUAAUCUCCAUCUUCUUCUCCGAUCUGUAAAUUCUCCAGUCAUGCAUAACGGCGAUGUUGGCUCUUCCUACUACCACCAACCUUACUUACACAACCCAAACCCUAGCUCUACUCCCCCUGAUCAUCCCUACGCCUCCGCUCCUCCUGAACCUUCUUCCACUUACUCUGCCUCCGACUACUCCACCACCUUCCCACCUUAUUCUCAUCAACAACAACCUUACACUUUCCCUCACCUUGAUGCUCAUCAACCGAAUUAUUAUUAUCCUCCGUAUGAUCAAAAUCAAACCCCUAUGAGUUACGAUUAUACCACACAAAAUUAUGGUUCCUCUCCUCAUCAUGCAAUUGAGGAUUAUGGAUCGUAUGGUGAUUCCGGUAUUUACAAAUAUAAUGGUAGGAAAGAUGAGUUGUAUAAAGAGAGUCGAUCUGAGUCGAAUGUUGGGGUGAUGUUUGAUGAUUAUGGGAGGCCUAUUAAUGUUCAAAAUCAGAGGGAGAAGCAGGGAUAUGAGAGUAGUCGUAAAAUUGUGAAAGCAACCCCGAAGAUGGAGGAACAACAGGAUGUUACAGCUGGUGUGUUGAAGUUCCGCGUCAAACUUUUAUCUGAAGGGAUUGGUCAGAGUGACAUGGAUGUGCUUUGUCAGAUUGGUCUCGAUGGGAUUCGCUUACUUGAUCCUGCUACGAGCCGAACUCUGAGAAUAUAUUUGCUGGAGAAUGUGACAAGAUGCGAGGUGUUGGAUUCAUAUAUAUUUGCAUUUUGGGCCAAAAACUCGGUUGACAUGGAACCUAGACGUAUCAGGCUGAAAUCAAAUAGCUAUACGGUGAACAAUAUGCUGGACACUGUGACAGCCGCAAGUAUUCAGGUCAAGGAGAUGGGUGAGAGUAAUAAAUCUUCAGAUUCAAUCAAGGGAUCUGAGCAAGCUGCUGAGAAGAAGAAAGGUUUUGCUGAUUUGAUGAAGUUGAUGAGGCCACUAAAUGAAGAGAAAGAUUUCUGGGUUCCUGAUGAAGCAGUUCGAAAGUGCACUGCUUGUGCGACUGAUUUUAGUGCUUUCAAUAGAAAGCAUCACUGCAGGAAUUGUGGGGAUAUUUUCUGUGACAAGUGCACGCAAGGUAGAGUUGCCCUCACUGCGGAUGAAGAUGCACAGCCAGUUCGAGUUUGUGACCGAUGCAUGGCAGAGGUAACUCAGAGACUCAGCAAUGCCACGGAAGCAACAACAAAAGUUGCUGCAUUACAAAGUCACGAGGACCUUACAAGAAAACUCAAGGAGGUGAUGGAAAAAACCCGCAAGACUUCAACAGGUCUUAGUUCUCAAGGAUCUAAUAAGGGGAUGAGAGAGGUAGAAUGUCCAACUUGCACAGUCCAUUUACAGGUUGAAGUGCCAGCUUCUGGAUCAGAAACGAUCGAGUGCAGCGUUUGCCAGCAUCCGUUCCUUGUUAGUGCCCAUUGAUCUGCAGAGUUUGUUUUUUUAUAUCCCCGUGUUAAAAGCCAAAGUGUGAUCGUCCUUUACUCAUAGUUUUGAAAGAGUAUCAUGGUCUUUAUUGAGUGAUACUUGUAUUGUUCUCUAUUUCAUAAUGCAGAUUUAUGUACAAAAAAG
RNAcentral lists this unclassified non-coding RNA (1689 nucleotides) under Hevea brasiliensis (rubber tree). Lineage: Eukaryota; Viridiplantae; Streptophyta; Magnoliopsida; Malpighiales; Euphorbiaceae. The record is from RNAcentral.